This 388-nucleotide ribosomal RNA is filed under the name uncultured bacterium. Its description in RNAcentral is "bacterial SSU rRNA". It matches the Rfam family "Bacterial small subunit ribosomal RNA", at positions 29 to 408 of the family's 1533-position model. The record is from RNAcentral.
AACGAACGCUGGCGGCGCGCCUAAUACAUGCAAGUCGAGCGAGAAGACGUAGCAAUACGUUUGUAAAGCGGCGAACGGGUGAGGAAUACAUGGGUAACCUACCCUCGAGUGGGGAAUAACUAGCCGAAAGGUUAGCUAAUACCGCAUACGCUUCCCGGACUGCGGUUCGGGAAAGAAAGCGAUACCGUGGGUAUCGCGCUCUUGGAUGGGCUCAUGUCCUAUCAGCUUGUUGGUGAGGAAUGGCUCACCAAGGCUUCGACGGGUAGCUGGUCUGAGAGGACGAUCAGCCACACUGGCACUGCGACACGGGCCAGACUCCUACGGGAGGCAGCAGUAAGGAAUAUUGCGCAAUGGACGAAAGUCUGACGCAGCGACGCCGCGCGGGGGA